RNAcentral lists this long non-coding RNA (1452 nucleotides) under Canis lupus familiaris (dog). RNAcentral describes it as "lncRNA (ENSCAFG00000038521.3)". Lineage: Eukaryota; Metazoa; Chordata; Mammalia; Carnivora; Canidae. The record is from RNAcentral.
AUCCUCUUUUUAUGUUUCCCUUUUACUAAUUAGUACUCUUUCAUUUCAUCUUAAAGAAAUCCCUUAUACUUCUCAUAAGGCUAGUCUAAUGGUGAUGAACUCUUUCAGUUUUUACUGAAAUGGAAAAUUGAGGCUUUCCUACCUGUAUGUAUUCCUGUAUGUAUUCUUCAAUGUAUUCUCUUAUUCAAACAAUGUGUAGUAGACACUCAAACAUAUGGGUUUAUUUCAGAGAUAAUUUCCCUAUGUACAGCUGUACAUUUAGUGUGAUCUUGAGAAAAGGGGAGCUCAGGAACCUCCUAUGUUACUGUCUUCCAAAAAUUCUUCUUUGCACCUGGCUGGUUCAGUUAGAAGAGCACAUGACUCUUGAUCUCGGAGUGUUUUUCUCUAGUUUGAAAGAGGAACAACAAUCUCAUUUCUCUCCAUCAAGGAGCCAACACUACAACCGUAGCUUGUUUGUACGUGAAUGGAGACCUGACUUUAGAAGACUUUUGAAUCAAACGUACCCUCAACAGUGAAAGGCGGCCCUUCAAUGUGGAUAGUAAAAUACUGCUUUAUUAUAGAAACAUAACCAUAAAUCUAAAGAUGAUAACCCGUUCGCAUAGCGUUAGUUAUAUUUUUUAACGUGGCUUCAAUAGAAUCAUUUUGACAACUACUAUAUAAAGCCUACAUAUGGAAUCUCUAAAUAACAGUUGAAUCACUGAUACAUUAAUAUUAGUAGUUUUACAUAUAUUUUUUAACAUUAGCACUUUUAAAAAUACUUUCUCAUGCUCUGACCUCUAUUAAUUUGAGGACACUUCUAUUCCUGUGGAAUACACUGGAGUACGAUUCCCAAUAAUUUGUUUAAAUUUCACAAAGAGUCCAAAGUUAUGACACAUGCACAGAGGCGAUUAUAACAAUAAUAAUUUAAAAAAACUAAACAAAACAAAACUGGGCGGCCCGGGUGGCUCCACGGUUUGGCCCUGCCUUCAGCCCAGGGCCUAAUCCUGGAGACCCAGGAUCGAGUCCCACGUCGGGCUUCCUGCGUGGAACCUGCUUCUCCCUCUGCCUGUGUCUCUGCCUCGCUCGCGCUCUCUCUCUCUCUGUCUCUAUGAAGAAGUAAAUAAAUUCUUAAAAAAAAAAAAAAACCCACAAAUAAACCAUUUUGGUGUGUGUUGACCUUUCUUCUUUCUUGAAGGAGGACCAAAUUCAGGAAACAAGAACAACAAAUAAAACAGGGCUACCAUACUCACCUUUAUUCAGGAGUUCAAAGUAUUUCUACCUUUACCGCUUGCCAUACAGUUAUUCAGGCUGGAAUCGAUGGAUGCGAAACUCCGAAGGUUUUGGGUUUCAGCUGUUAAACGAAUCAAGCAAGGUGGCCGUUGGACGGAUGUGGCUGCAAUGCCGUGGGGGCCUGCGGAGGCAACCGAAUGCUAAGCCUGUAAAAUGCCUCUCGCCCACCAAACCCCAAGGCUG